CGAGGGGCAGCAUGGUCUUAGCUUGCUAAGGCCGAUGGCGACCGGCGCACGGGUGAGUAACACGUAUCCAACCUGCCGUCUACUCUUGGACAGCCUUCUGAAAGGAAGAUUAAUACAAGAUGGCAUCAUGAGUCCGCAUGUUCACAUGAUUAAAGGUAUUCCGGUAGACGAUGGGGAUGCGUUCCAUUAGAUAGUAGGCGGGGUAACGGCCCACCUAGUCUUCGAUGGAUAGGGGUUCUGAGAGGAAGGUCCCCCACAUUGGAACUGAGACACGGUCCAAACUCCUACGGGAGGCAGCAGUGAGGAAUAUUGGUCAAUGGGCGAGAGCCUGAACCAGCCAAGUAGCGUGAAGGAUGACUGCCCUAUGGGUUGUAAACUUCUUUUAUAAAGGAAUAAAGUCGGGUAUGCAUACCCGUUUGCAUGUACUUUAUGAAUAAGGAUCGGCUAACUCCGUGCCAGCAGCCGCGGUAAUACGGAGGAUCCGAGCGUUAUCCGGAUUUAUUGGGUUUAAAGGGAGCGUAGAUGGAUGUUUAAGUCAGUUGUGAAAGUUUGCGGCUCAACCGUAAAAUUGCAGUUGAUACUGGAUAUCUUGAGUGCAGUUGAGGCAGGCGGAAUUCGUGGUGUAGCGGUGAAAUGCUUAGAUAUCACGAAGAACUCCGAUUGCGAAGGCAGCCUGCUAAGCUGCAAC
RNAcentral lists this ribosomal RNA (688 nucleotides) under uncultured Bacteroidales bacterium. RNAcentral's name for it is "bacterial SSU rRNA". It matches the Rfam family "Bacterial small subunit ribosomal RNA", at positions 63 to 740 of the family's 1533-position model. The record is from RNAcentral. Lineage: Bacteria; Pseudomonadati; Bacteroidota; Bacteroidia; Bacteroidales.